GUUUUCGGAUCGUAAAACUCUGUUGUGAGGGAAGAACAAGUACCAACUAACUACUGGUACCUUGACGGUACCUCACCAGAAAGCCACGGCUAACUACGUGCCAGCAGCCGCGGUAAUACGUAGGUGGCAAGCGUUGUCCGGAAUUAUUGGGCGUAAAGCGCGCGCAGGCGGUCCUUUAAGUCUGAUGUGAAAGCCCACGGCUCAACCGUGGAGGGUCAUUGGAAACUGGAGGACUUGAGUGCAGAAGAGGAAAGUGGAAUUCCAUGUGUAGCGGUGAAAUGCGUAGAGAUGUGGAGGAACACCAGUGGCGAAGGCGACUUUCUGGUCUGUAACUGACGCUGAGGCGCGAAAGCGUGGGGAGCAAACAGGAUUAGAUACCCUGGUAGUCCACGCCGUAAACGAUGAGUGCUAAGUGUUAGGGGGUUUCCGCCCCUUAGUGCUGCAGCUAACGCAUUAAGCACUCCGCCUGGGGAGUACGGCCGCAAGGCUGAAACUCAAAGGAAAUUGAC
This 509-nucleotide ribosomal RNA is filed under the name Planococcaceae bacterium S14. RNAcentral's name for it is "bacterial SSU rRNA". It matches the Rfam family "Bacterial small subunit ribosomal RNA", at positions 414 to 914 of the family's 1533-position model. Lineage: Bacteria; Bacillati; Bacillota; Bacilli; Caryophanales; Caryophanaceae. The record is from RNAcentral.